Molecule: ribosomal RNA, 436 nt
Filed under: uncultured Oscillospiraceae bacterium
Lineage: Bacteria; Bacillati; Bacillota; Clostridia; Eubacteriales; Oscillospiraceae
Description: bacterial SSU rRNA
Rfam family: Bacterial small subunit ribosomal RNA
Source: RNAcentral
ACGGAAGGCAGCAGUGGGGAAUAUUGCGCAAUGGGGGAAACCCUGACGCAGCAACGCCGCGUGAAGGAAGAAGGUCUUCGGAUUGUAAACUUUUGGUUGCAGGGAAGAAGAAGUGACAGUACCUGCAAAGGAAGCUCCGGCUAACUACGUGCCAGCAGCCGCGGUAAUACGUAGGGAGCAAGCGUUGUCCGGAAUUACUGGGUGUAAAGGGUGCGUAGGCGGGUAUGCAAGUCAUAUGUGAAAUACCGGGGCUCAACUCCGGAGCUGCAUAAGAAACUGUAUAUCUUGAGUGCAGGAGAGGUAAGCGGAAUUCCUAGUGUAGCGGUGAAAUGCGUAGAUAUUAGGAGGAACACCAGUGGCGAAGGCGGCUUACUGGACUGAAACUGACGCUGAGGCACGAAAGCGUGGGGAGCAAACAGGAUUAGAUACCCUGGUA